ACGUCCAUUGUCUAAUGGAAAGGACAGGGGUAGUAUAAACCUCUGGUAUAGGUUCAAAUCCUAUUGGACGCU
Ananas comosus (pineapple) is the source of this 72-nucleotide transfer RNA. It matches the Rfam family "tRNA". Rfam says of the family: Transfer RNA (tRNA) molecules are approximately 80 nucleotides in length. Their secondary structure includes four short double-helical elements and three loops (D, anti-codon, and T loops). The record is from Rfam. NCBI's taxonomy places the organism in Eukaryota, Viridiplantae, Streptophyta, Magnoliopsida, Poales, Bromeliaceae.